CAGUUCGGAUUGCAGGCUGAAAUUCGCCUGCAUGAAGCCGGAAUUGCUAGUAAUGGCAGGUCAGCAUACUGCCGUGAAUACGUUCCCGGGCCUUGUACACACCGCCCGUCACACCAUGAGAGUUGGGAAUACCCGAAGCCUGUGAGCUAACGUAAGAGGCAGCAGUCGAAGGUAGAAUCAAUGAUUGGGGUGAAGUCGUAACAAGGUACC
RNAcentral lists this ribosomal RNA (210 nucleotides) under uncultured bacterium. RNAcentral describes it as "partial 16S ribosomal RNA". It matches the Rfam family "Bacterial small subunit ribosomal RNA", at positions 1289 to 1500 of the family's 1533-position model. The record is from RNAcentral.